This 461-nucleotide long non-coding RNA is filed under the name Nicotiana benthamiana. RNAcentral's name for it is "long non-coding RNA (NBEN_LNC003229)". The record is from RNAcentral. Lineage: Eukaryota; Viridiplantae; Streptophyta; Magnoliopsida; Solanales; Solanaceae.
UUUUAUUAAAUAUGUAUAAAUUAUUAAUUAGAACUUAACUUGAAAAAAUUAGGAUCCCGACUCAUAAGCUUGAAAUCAUGGUUCCCCUCUAACUCUACUAAAGCCAAAAGAAAUAACCGUAUUACAAAUCUUUACCUUGACCUAAAUUUAGCAAAGGAAAUAAAAUUGUUGCACCUUUAUGCAAGACCCCUUAUAGGCUAAAUCUAAAAAGAUGUCAUCAGAGCUGAAUCUGACCGGAUUAAAAGAUAAUGAACGAGGAAUAUGAUGUUACAAAAAAGAAGUAAAAUUAGGUUUUAUUUUAUAUUUCUCAAAUAAAUUUUAAUUUGAAGUAGCUACAUAAAGUAUAAUCAAAUUUAUUAGGAUGAAGGUAACUCGAUUAGGCCGGCUCUUGGGUUGUACCAAUUCGUUAGGGUUUGGCCCAUAAGAACUUUUAAAGAGAGGUGCAACAAAUUUGCUAUAUU